ACUGCUCAGUAACACGUGGAUAACCUGCCCUUGGGUCCGGCAUAACCCCGGGAAACUGGGGAUAAUUCCGGAUAACGCACAUAUGCUGGAAUGCUUUAUGCGUAAAAUGGAUUCGUCUGCCCAAGGAUGGGUCUGCGGCCUAUCAGGUAGUAGUGGGUGUAAUGUACCUACUAGCCUACAACGGGUACGGGUUGUGAGAGCAAGAGCCCGGAGAUGGAUUCUGAGACAUGAAUCCAGGCCCUACGGGGCGCAGCAGGCGCGAAAACUUUACAAUGCGGGAAACCGUGAUAAGGGGACACCGAGUGCCAGCAUCAUAUGCUGGCUGUCCAGGUGUGUAAAAUACACCUGUUAGCAAGGGCCGGGCAAGACCGGUGCCAGCCGCCGCGGUAACACCGGCGGCCCGAGUGGUGAUCGUGAUUAUUGGGUCUAAAGGGUCCGUAGCCGGUUUGGUCAGUCCUCCGGGAAAUCUGACGGCUCAACCGUUAGGCUUUCGGGGGAUACUGCCAGGCUUGGAACCGGGAGAGGUAAGAGGUACUACAGGGGUAGGAGUGAAAUCUUGUAAUCCCUGUGGGACCACCUGUGGCGAAGGCGUCUUACCAGAACGGGUUCGACGGUGAGGGACGAAAGCUGGGGGCACGAACCGGAUUAGAUACCCGGGUAGUCCCAGCCGUAAACGAUGCUCGCUAGGUGUCAGGCAUGGCGCGACCGUGUCUGGUGCCGCAGGGAAGCCGUGAAGCGAGCCACCUGGGGAAGUACGGCCGCAAGGCUGAAACUUAAAGGAAUUGGCGGGGGAGCAC
This 797-nucleotide ribosomal RNA is filed under the name uncultured archaeon. RNAcentral describes it as "bacterial SSU rRNA". It matches the Rfam family "Archaeal small subunit ribosomal RNA", at positions 85 to 879 of the family's 1478-position model. The record is from RNAcentral.